Non-coding RNA from Camellia sinensis, 218 nucleotides. Lineage: Eukaryota; Viridiplantae; Streptophyta; Magnoliopsida; Ericales; Theaceae. The record is from RefSeq and is a predicted model, not a curated record.
UUAGUGAGGCGUUAUAAUUUGAAUUUUACAAGACAAGAUACAUCUUCUCUCUGGUUUUUGUACAAACAGGAAGCAUCCUUAUUGAAUAUAACUGAUCAAGCUUGUGCUCUGUUCACUCCAUCUGAGGUUGUUUUACUGGAGUGGACAGAUGAUUUGGAGCUGUUCAUAUUAAAGGGUUAUGGUAAUGCAUUAAACUACCGGAUGGGAGUGCCAUUGAG